Non-coding RNA from Cricetulus griseus (Chinese hamster), 2408 nucleotides. The record is from RefSeq and is a predicted model, not a curated record. Lineage: Eukaryota; Metazoa; Chordata; Mammalia; Rodentia; Cricetidae.
UCCUUCCGCUGGGCCCCGGAGUACAGCAGACCCCAUGGUACUGUUCUGAGCUCAGCACAGUGCUAACCACAGAGGUUGCCCAGAUCUGGAACUCAGUCUUUCCCCAACUGCUGUGGUUUGGGACUAGACAGACACACGCAGAAUGACUAGAAUCUAAGAUGACAAGGGUGCAAGAAAUUAUGUGUGAAAUACAAGGAGUCAGUGCAAAGGGUGUGGACGGACAACUCCAGGCAUACUUGAGCUAUUUAUGCACUAGUUUUUCAUUCCCCCUAUAACCAGAUGUGGAGGACUGUUUUGUUUUUUUUGUUUUUUUUUCUUUCCCCAUUUGGCAGAGGAAAGAAACUAAGAAAACAAGGGGGAAAGCUUUCCCAGAGUCCCAUAGCUCAUAAGCAAGCCGGACUUGGUGCCCAACAACCUGGCAUCAGGAGGCUAGGCCCACUGUCACAUGGUGCACAUGCCUCCCAGGGAGCAGAGUCUCGGGGUCUGUCCAGGGAUGCUUGGGUAGGGAAGGGAAAUGGUAGAGAAUGAAUGGUGGGUAUGUGGGUUGAUGACACCAGGGCACCCUGGGGAGCAGGGGCAGGAGGCUCUGCCAUGUGUGCUCAUGGGGAACGGGGGACAGCCUGGGUACAUGGACAGUUGUUCCAGGGAAGAGGCAAGGCCAGGGGGUUGUACAAGGUGGGCAGGAGUUGCUGCCGUCCUUUCACCAGUGCUUUCGGAUUAGUCUUUGUCCCUUGUUUACCCUCCUUCUCAGAGUCCCAGCUGUCCUCAGGGUCAUUACCGAAAAUUUCAUCCCACAUCCAUUUACGUUUCAAGCAGCGAAGCGUCUCCAGCCUCCCCGAGAAAAUGAUUCCACAGCCCCGUUGUCCAGGAAACUUGCGUCCUCGCUGUUCCCUGCUCUGCAAACCUCAUCCAAAAGCCCCUGGUCGCCGCCACUUAGCAAAGCUGCAUGGAUUUAGCCCCUUUAAUCUUCUCUGGUAAAUUAAUCCCCCAAGCGCCUUCAUUACUUAUGUUGCUCUUCCCCGAAUUCCCUUCAAUUUGCCACUGCCUCUGCAGUACUGCUGAGCCCAGCACCAACAAGAUGGCCCCACAUGGCCAGGCUCCUGGCCUGGGGCACACACGCACCAACAAGAUGGCCCCACAUGGCCAGGCUCCUGGCCUGGGGCACACAAGCACCAACAAGAUGGCCCCACAUGGCCAGGCUCCUGGCCUGGGACACACACGCACCAACAAGAUGGCCCCACAUGGCCAGGCUCCUGGCCUGGGACACACACGCACCAACAAGAUGGCCCCACAUGGCCAGGCUCCUGGCCUGGGACACACACGCACCAACAAGAUGGCCCCACAUGGCCAGGCUCCUGGCCUGGGGCACACAAGCACCAACAAGAUGGCCCCACAUGGCCAGGCUCCUGGCCUGGGGCACACACGCACCAACAAGAUGGCCCCACAUGGCCAGGCCAGCGGCAGUGUAGUCAAAUUUCUGUACCCCUCCACCCUUGAGCCCACAAAGUUCUUGUCUACCUUCAGCUCCCACCUGUGUCUACUGUGCCUAGUAGAUACUGACCUCACCCCUCUGAUGCACCCUGGGGAACUUGCUGCUAGAAAGCCUGGGAGCUCUUUAAGGAGGGGCCACAGCUUCCAAAAACUGAAGCAAAGACUGAUGUGUGUGCAGUGUGCUCUGGAGCAAGGGGCUGUAGCUUUGUCAUGUAAUCACGUGUGUGUGGUGUUGUUUGGUUAGGUUUGGCUUGAGAUGAGCCUUGUGUGGCCCUGGCUGGUCUUGAGCUUCCUGUGUAGCUGCUCCUUGAGCCAGUCCUCUGCCCCUUCCAGAUACUGUGGUCACAGGUGUGUGCCACCACACUCCACUCUGGGCUUUUUUGUUUUUUCAGGUUUGAUUUUAUUUUUUGAGAUAUGUUCAUUCUAUUAUACUGCUUGUUGGAGAAAUGACAGUUUAGUCCCAGGCCUGUCACUCUCUCAGUAGGAAAACCAAUAACCAAAAUGGGGACAUCUCUCCACCCAAGUCUAUACAUAGCUUCAUAAUAACAAGGCCCAGAUUCGGCCUGGGCUGUAUAACUCUAGAGCAUAUGCCUAAUGUGAGCCCUGGGUUCCAUCCCAGCACUGUGUGUGUGUGUGUGUGUGUGUGUGUGUGUGUGUGUGUGUGUGUGUGUGUGUGUGCACAUGCACAUAAUCUAAAGGUGAGGAGUCCUGCAUUCAUGAGUCCUGUACAAUCAGCCUCUCUCCACAGAUUCAACUCCUUCCUCCCUGUUCUGAUAGUGGACUUGCAUUGCCCUGGGUUCUGUAGUGCCACUGUGGUCCCUGAGUCUCAGACCAUCUAUCUGCAUGGGACUAUUUUAACUGCACCCCCCAUCCUUUUUCCCACCUCAAUCAGGGAGCCCCCCCCCCCAUGCCAUGCU